This 468-nucleotide ribosomal RNA is filed under the name uncultured bacterium. RNAcentral's name for it is "partial 16S ribosomal RNA". It matches the Rfam family "Bacterial small subunit ribosomal RNA", at positions 28 to 507 of the family's 1533-position model. The record is from RNAcentral.
GACGAACGCUGGCGGCGGGCUUAACACAUGCAAGUCGAACGGAAAGGCCCUGCUUUUGUGGGGUGCUCGAGUGGCGAACGUGUGAGUAACACGUGAGUAACCUGCCCUUGACUUUGGUAUAACUUCAGGAAACUGGGGCUAAUACCGGAUAGGAGCGCCUGCUGCAGGGUGGGGGUUGGAAAGUUUCGGCGGUUGGGGAUGGACUCGCGGCUUAUCAGCUUGUUGGUGGGGUAGUGGCUUACCAAGGCUUUGACGGGUAGCCGGCCUGAGAGGGUGACCGGCCACAUUGGGACUGAGAUACGGCCCAGACUCCUACGGGAGGCAGCAGUGGGGAAUAUUGCACAAUGGGCGGAAGCCUGAUGCAGCAACGCCGCGUGCGGGAUGACGGCCUUCGGGUUGUAAACCGCUUUCGCCUGUGACGAAGCGUGAGUGACGGUAAUGGGUAAAGAAGCACCGGCUAAGUACGUG